This 223-nucleotide long non-coding RNA is filed under the name Elaeis guineensis (African oil palm). Its description in RNAcentral is "long non-coding RNA (EGUI_LNC001030)". The record is from RNAcentral. Lineage: Eukaryota; Viridiplantae; Streptophyta; Magnoliopsida; Arecales; Arecaceae.
CCCUUUGCAUCCAUGUAAAUGUAAUUAAAAGAAAAUGCUACUUUAAUUAAUGGUCUAGGAAAUGACGAUGCUGUAUAACUAAAAUGAUUCCGCGAUAACUAACGUCGCUGCUCGCUCUAUUUGGAAAUAACAAUAGGUGGGACCAAAAUGGUUUUUAUCUUAUCUAAAAGAAGUAAUGGCCUAAUUUUGGAGUGGAGGAGACGUAUGCAUAGCUGAGAAAAAU